RNAcentral lists this long non-coding RNA (1852 nucleotides) under Mytilus galloprovincialis (Mediterranean mussel). Lineage: Eukaryota; Metazoa; Mollusca; Bivalvia; Mytilida; Mytilidae. The record is from RNAcentral.
AGAGGUCAGUAUUUAUAAAUGUUGGAAGAGGAACUGUUAUUAAUGAGGAUAGUUUGGUCACUGCUUUAAGGUAAUUACUUACAAAGGUAAAUUGGCAGAGAAAAUUAUCUUUUCUUAGACGAUUUAGUAUGAAUAAUGUAUAAACGAAAUUAUUGAGACUAUAUAUACAAAGAGUCUGUGUCGCUGAUUAAGAUCUGUGUUCAUCGUCAGUAAUGUACAUCUCCAACAUUGAAAACUAGAAUAGAAUUAAUAACAGAAAUAUUUUCUUUUAUUCUUUUUUUUUCAUCGCUGAUCAUUUUUAGACCGACUUGCCUAAAGGGCCAAGUGAGCUUUUUUAUAAGUUCUAUUUUUUUUAAAUCUUCUCUAAAAUUACCAAGCCUAAUUUGACUAAAUUUGGCCACAAUCACCAUUAGAUUAUCUACUUUAAAAGACGUGUCCAAAAAACCAGUAAUUUCAGAGACGAAAAUGUUUGUAAAAGUUAACGGAUGACGACGACGGACAAUAAACAAUAGACGCCAAGUGAUGGGAAAACUCACACUGGCCCUAUGUGUUGGUGAGUUAAAAUAACUAAGGGACUUAGCUACUAAGGAAAAUACAAUUUUGAAGAUGAUUUUCUUAGGGAAACAUAUGCUGUUCUUUGAAGAUAUUAAAGAGUUGAUAGCACCAGAACAUUUAGGGGAUUUUCUAUGUAUUUUGUUAUCUUAUAGUUCGUUUCUAUGUAUGUAUGUUGUUUGUUUUUUGUUGCACUUCAGUGUUCUGUUGUUUCGUUGUUUUCCUCUUAUAUGAACUUAUAGAUGAUGUGUUUCCCUUGUUUUUAGUUUGUAACCUGGAUUUCGAUUUGUGACCUUUGAACAACGGUAUACUAUUGUUGCCUUUAUUCGAACAUAACUAUCUAUAUAGAAGACAUACUAAAAAUGUAAUAAUUCCAAAUGCACGUAAGCUUAAAUGAUAUACAUGUAUGUAUGUUAUUUUGAAGGAAUGAAUGGAUUGGCGGUGCUGUUCUAGACGUUUUUAGCACAGAACCAUUAUCAGUUGACAGUCCUUUGUGGUCAUUCCCUAAAGUGAUUAUUACACCACAUAUAUCAGGACCUUGUCAGACUCAACUAGUGAGUACUACAUUGACAUUUCAGAAAUGAUAACCGCUUAUAUCUAACUGUUUAGUAACUUUAGUUUUCUAUUGGCCUGACAUAUAAAAAAUUAAUACGAUGUUCUUAUGAUUCACCGCUUAUAAAUUGUUAAAUUCAUUAGAAAUAAUAACAUCUUUCUACACCUGACAAAAGAUUGCCUUAGCAACAUAUACACACUUGAUUUAUUUUGUGUUUUUCGUCAAAAUAACCAAUAACAAGUUACAAAUAUACGAUGCAGAAACCUGGGCUGCAUUUUUCACUAUUUGGUAUAUAUUUUAAAUACACCAAGGAUAACAUAAUAAUUGGUUUCAACAGAACAGUACAAGUUCGUUUCAGAAAACUUUGUUAUCUACUUAAGGACUAAAGAGUUGGUGUGAUAUAUAUUUAUCCUCUAUGUUACGUCAUUUCACUACAAAAUAUAAUUAAUACCAGGGCUUAACUGGAAAUGAAAAAACCUUAUGCUAGAUAUUCUUGGCUUAAUGAGAAAACAAAAUUGAUGAUGAUUUAACACUGGUAUUGAUAUGUUGUAGGUCGUCCAGACUUUUGUUGAAAAUUACAUGAAAUUUGUCGGUAAUGAAAAACUUGGUGGUCUCGUGAACUGGAGUGGAGGUUACUGACUUAAUUUCGCUAUACUUGGUGUGUUCAAAAGAUAGGAAAAUAAAACUUGGAUGAUUGCAAUAUAAAUGUGAUUAGAAUUAAUUAAAUUUACUUUUACAAAAAACAUG